This 493-nucleotide ribosomal RNA is filed under the name uncultured bacterium. RNAcentral describes it as "partial 16S ribosomal RNA". It matches the Rfam family "Bacterial small subunit ribosomal RNA", at positions 29 to 507 of the family's 1533-position model. The record is from RNAcentral.
ACGAACGCUGGCGGCGUGCUUCACACAUGCAAGUCGAACGGUGAAGCGCCUUCCUUUUUGGUGGGUGUGGAUGAGUGGCGAACGGGUGAGUAACACGUGAGUAACCUGCCCCCUUCUUCUGGAUAACCGCAUGAAAGUGUGGCUAAUACGGGAUAUUCUGGGCCUGUCGCAUGAUGGGUCUGGGAAAGAUAUUGUUUCGGUGGGGGAUGGGCUCGCGGCCUAUCAGCUUGUUGGUGGGGUGAUGGCCUACCAAGGCGGUGACGGGUAGCCGGCCUGAGAGGGUGGACGGUCACACUGGGACUGAGACACGGCCCAGACUCCUACGGGAGGCAGCAGUGGGGAAUAUUGCACAAUGGGCGCAAGCCUGAUGCAGCGACGCCGCGUGAGGGAUGGAGGCCUUCGGGUUGUGAACCUCUUUCGCCAGUGAAGCAGGCCUGCCUCGUUUGUGGGUGGGUUGACGGUAGCUGGAUAAGAAGCGCCGGCUAACUACGUG